This 4308-nucleotide unclassified non-coding RNA is filed under the name Haliotis rufescens (red abalone). Its description in RNAcentral is "neuronal acetylcholine receptor subunit alpha-10- like, transcript variant X2". The record is from RNAcentral. Lineage: Eukaryota; Metazoa; Mollusca; Gastropoda; Lepetellida; Haliotidae.
CAACGUCGGGGCUGGGUGUACUGGGUUGUUCGUUCUCCCUCCCACAUCGCUCCAUGUGCCUGGCAGUUGAUGACGCGCACAGGUGCAUAGGGAAAAAGUUUUGUGAUAAGCUCGCUUGUGAAACUGCUGUCUGGUGCGGCACCACUGGGCAAGAUAGAAGCGAAGCGCUUUCCAGCUGACUGUAAUGUUGAACGGGCGAGAAAUGAACAGGUAGAGAACGCGAGCUGGAAUACCAACCCAGGGAGGCACGUAUAUGCACCACUCAGAGACAUGUUUCCAAGCGGUAUAUCGCGGGAGAGCCAGUAGCACGAGCCUCGGAUACACCUUGAAGCCACGUGGAGACAGGAGAAGACCACGUUCUUCAAGUUGACCGCUGCCUUCGCAUCGAUAUCUAGAGACAAGCCGGAGGACUCAACAUGGACGUGUAUCGUGCUAUUUACGGCCUUGCUGUCUUGGCGAUGUCAUUGAUUUCUACGUCCAGUGGUAAUCGAGGUGUGGACACGCUCUCCUACGAAGACCAGCUUGUGAAACAGAUUCUCCACAAGUAUCGUGUGCGCGGAAAAUACAGUCGCCCAGUUCGGCAUUUCAACGACACUCUUAAAGUCACCUUUGGCAUACAAUUGACGCAGAUCAUGGACUUGAACGAGCAGGAUCAGAUACUAACGCUGAAUGUGUGGGACAUUUACUGGUGGAAAGAUGAGCAGGCAACGUGGAACAUGACCGAAUAUGGCGGCGUCGACAAGGUGCGCAUACCCUGGAACAAAGUCUGGUUGCCAGACAUCAAGCUGUACAACUACGCUGACUACCGCCUGCAAGAACAGCGGACGGUGUUGUGUGUGUUCCACCAUGAUGGCCGAGUUCAGUGGAUGCCCCAGGCUGUGUACCGCAGCUCUUGUCAGAUCGACGUUACGACCUUUCCAUUUGAUGUUCAGUCGUGUAUUUUGAAAUUCGGAUCCUGGACCUAUGACGGUAACAAGCUUGAAGUUCAUUUCAACGAAGAUAAAGACUAUAUAGAUCUUACAGAGUACGUGACCAGCAACGCCUGGACCAUCAUUGACGUCCCUGCGAAACGCAACGUCAAGUUCUACAGCUGCUGCCCUGAGCCCUACGUGGACCUGACCUUCACCUUGAUCUUCCAGAGACGAGCCACCCUGUAUAACUACAUCCUGAUUCUGCCGUGUGUCCUUCUCACCUCCAUCACCCUCAUCCUCUUCUGGAUUCCCCCGGAAUCACCCGCAAAGAUGAUGUUAGGUUUAACUAUCUUCAUUGCCUUCUUCAUUCUGCUGAAAAUCUUGGAGAAGAACCUUCCACCCGGCACAUCCAGCAUGCCCUUGAUAGGUACUUACUACUGCCUCAACAUGAUCAUCAUCACCCUAUCAUCAUUCCUCAAUGUGCUGGUGGUCAACUGGGCGGCAUAUGGUCAGAGAGCAAACAUUCCUCCUCCCAUGAAGGCGGUUCUGUUUGAUGUAUGCGCUAAGGUGCUGCACAUGGAAGACCUUGUUCGACCAUUCCAGAAGAAGGACAGAGGAGAGGAGGCAGCGGCAACAACCAGUAACCCUGGAGAGGAGGACACCAAGUGGAGCCAAGAUCCCAUGGCUUCAACUGAAGUGCUUACGCAUCUAAAAUGCACCCAUGCCACAGGUCCAAUUGCUUCUAUUGACGCCAAACUUGGAGAACUUCGAGAGUUUAUUCGUGCUCACAAACAACGUUUGGCGGACAAAGAUCGCCGCGAAAGUAUGGUGAAAGAAUGGAAGGCUUCAGCUUUGAUCCUCGACAGAAUUAUCUUUGUCGUUUACUUCCUUAUAAUAGUAACCUCCUUGGCUGUCAUCUUGCCAUCUAUUGUCUACAGUGCUGAUUACCAGAGCACAAGACUUAAAGAGGCAUUUAAUAUACAGGAAUAAGACGCUUAUGAUAAAUAUGCGAGGCUCUUGUGGUAUUGUCUUCAGGCGGUCACUUUCAUACCCUUCAUAUGAUGAUAUGAUGGUUGCACAAACACAGGGCAGAUAUUAGCCGGUCUUCACAAACAUUUAGAAAGAGAGACCUUCCAACUGUUGCUUAUCAGGAAAGAACAGGUGUUUACGUUAACGCACAUCUUUGUUGUUACUAGCCAAGGCGUUUGAAUACAGUAUUGAGCCAUGAUGGACACAAACAACUGAAGAAUAUGCUUGUCUAAUUCAAAUCAGCACUUAUCUGUAUGAAUGCGUAGUGAGAAUAUUGGAUAUGUGCAGUGGGACAUGUUAUGCGCGAGUGCUGGUUGUUUGGGACGAGACUGGGAUUGAUAAGGAUAUUUUUUGUGGCUGGGCAAUGUUAAUCGGAUCGUGGUUGGGUAGGAAGAGACACACAGAAUGAGAUUGGUGUUUUGUGUGGUAGGGCAAAGUAAGUCGGAUGUUAGAUCGUAUUAUGGGGCCCUCAGGGCGUGAUUGUGUGACGCGAGAAUUCAGCAUGUUGGCUGUACGACAGGAAUCCAACAUCUGAAUGUAAGUUGCGUGAUAGGGGACAUUCUUUCAGUGAAUGUUUGUUUUGCAGUACAACGCAAAAAAGGUCAUGAAUGAUAGUUUAGAGGUAAGGACUUCCACACUGUGAAUGGUGGUUCAGUGGCUGCAGACAUUCAACGGUUGAAUGUUUGGUAAGGGAAUCCACAUUGUGAAAGGUGGUUCAGUGGCUGCAGACAUUCAACGGUUGAAUGCGGUAAGGGACUCGUAGAAUGCUAACUUGGCUUUGCGAGACGGGGCGUGUUGAUUGUGAAUAUUGAUAGUGCAGUGGGUGGCAUUCAGGACGUGGGCUUUGGCUGUGUAGAACAGGCGUGAACGGGUUUUACAUCAAUGAAGACACAGAAAUUGUUCAAAUCGUUUUACAGAGAACGCUGUGCACUCUUCACAGUAAAACCGCCCAAUUUCAUGGGUCUGGUGCAGGAAAAUCUCCUAUGACCAACUUGGGAUAAUAUUAUUAACUAUGCAUAGCGGAGAAACUACUUUUUGGCAUGUUUAUGUUUACUUAAUUCUGGAUAGUUCUCUGUCUUGAAUAGACCGUAUUGCACAGAAUGGUUUAUGCAAAUAUGUUGUCAGUAUUUAAUUGUAUGCGGCACGUAAGGCCGUUGUGUUACCCGUUAUCGAGGUAUGAUUUGUCUGAUUGUAUGCCUGGAAGUGAAAGAAUGACGUCAGCGGUGCAUGGUGUGUGUUUUUCUUGUACAGAUUGAUGCAUUGUUACCCUUAUUUAGCGGGGAAAAAUCAACGACAUUUGUAGUUUUGAUACUGGUCAAAUCCUAAUUUAGAUUUAGAAGUAUGACUUCAGGACAAAAUGUAGUCUGUUUAAUUUAAAUAUGUAUAAAUAGAACCCUUAAGCUUUUGAAGCGUGUUUACAUGGUUUUUUUCUAGAACGGACAUUGUGAUGUUAUUGUCAUUGAACUAUGUAUGUACAUAUAUGUAAAUACAAACUAUGUGUUUUCUUUAUGGUUACUUGGUAAGCCAUCAUGUAAAUGUAUUUUCCACUUUUUUCCACAAAUCAAGGAAAGCUAUGCCAAUUGCAGAAGCUUCACCUACACAUGAUGUCACAGUUUCACAUUGACCUUCACUAUGAUAGUUCAAGAUUGAGACCUUUUGUCAGUUGUCACUGAUAUAAACAUGCAGCGUUAUAUAUGUAUCGGACAUACUUAGAAUCACGAGAAGACGGUAUUUGUUGUUGCAUAGAUGAUUUGUCGUGAUGUCGGUGGGGAAGUAGUAUCGCAUAAAGGCUCAACGCUUACAUGUGUACUCAGGGGUUGGUCGAGAUAGCCAAGUGGUUCAGCGUUGUCUCAUCAAGCCCAAGACCGGGUUUCAUUCCCAUACGGUAGUAAAGUCCAUUCGUUGCCUCCCCGCCGUGAUAUCACUGAAAUAUUGAUGAAAGCGGCAUAAAACGUUUUUUUACUCACAUGUGUACUCUGGUUUAUUUCAAGACAAAUCUGGUUGACAUUUAUAUAUUUGUUUCCCUCAACGGUUGUCUGUUUCUACCCAUUAGAAGAUUAUUUUGACUAACACAUAUGGUAUGAACCCUUUGUACGUGGGAGUUUCUUUUUUGUACAUUGUUAAACUAUUGAUUUGUGUUCUUCUGCCAGAGUAUACUAUAUUAUAGGGGUACUGUUUGCAUUCCACUACCAUACAGCUAUAGAACUCAUUAUAGUGCUCUUCCAUGGCUUGCUUGCGUUUGUCUCUGACAGCUUUGUCAAACGAGAACAGCAACAUAUUAAAAAGUGAUAUGGUCAGCACGACUUAACCUUUCAUACGCAUUCGUUAUGAGAUGAUAAUGUGUAUAUUACACUAUAGUUUUCAUUCA